Molecule: non-coding RNA, 73 nt
Organism: Bos taurus (domestic cattle)
Lineage: Eukaryota; Metazoa; Chordata; Mammalia; Artiodactyla; Bovidae
Source: Rfam
UCCCUGGUGGUCCAGCGGUUAAAACGUUGCACUUUCAAUGCAGGGGGUGCAGGUUUGAUCCCUGGUUGUGGAA